ACGGAAGGCAGCAGUAGGGAAUAUUGGGCAAUGGGCGAAAGCCUGACCCAGCAACGCCGCGUGAAGGAAGAAGGUCUUCGGAUUGUAAACUUUUGUCUUAUGGGACGAUAAUGACGGUACCAUAGGAGGAAGCCACGACUAACUACGUGCCAGCAGUCGCGGUAAUACGUAGGUGGCAAGCGUUAUCCGGAAUUAUUGGGUGUAAAGGGUGCGUAGGCGGGAUGUAAAGUCAGAUGUGAAAUCUCAGGGCUUAACCUUGAGACUGCAUUUGAAACUUACAUUCUUGAGUUAAGUAGAGGCAAGCGGAAUUCCCAGUGUAGCGGUGAAAUGCGUAGAUAUUGGGAGGAACACCAGUGGCGAAGGCGGCUUGCUGGGCUUUUACUGACGCUGAGGCACGAAAGUGUGGGGAGCAAACAGGAUUAGAUACCCUGGUA
This is a ribosomal RNA of 434 nucleotides. It matches the Rfam family "Bacterial small subunit ribosomal RNA", at positions 341 to 792 of the family's 1533-position model.